Molecule: small RNA, 396 nt
Filed under: Arabidopsis thaliana (thale cress)
Lineage: Eukaryota; Viridiplantae; Streptophyta; Magnoliopsida; Brassicales; Brassicaceae
Description: ATSL241100
Source: RNAcentral
UAAAUCCAAAAAUAUCAUCAAAUUAUGCAUCAACAUUAAGGGUGUCAAAAUGGAUCAAAAUUCAUGGAUCAAGUCAACUCAACUCAAUCCGUAAACUCUAAUGAGUUCAAAAUUUUGACUCAAAUGAGUUGAUGAGUCAAAUGAGUUGAUGAGUCAAUUGGUUUGAUGAGUAAAAUGAGUUGAUGAGUCAAUUGGUUUGAUGAGUAAAAUGAGUUGAUGAGUCAAUUGGUUUGAUGAGUAAAAUGAGUUGGGUUGUAAUGGUUAAUGGUUUCAAUGGUUUACCCAAUUAACCCAUCAAGUUUUGUAAAAUUGAAUUAAACCAACUAAAAUCUCUAAACCAAUGCCAAUUUAAGUUUAACCAACACAACUAAACCGAUUUAAUAAAAUUAAUAUUUU